Molecule: ribosomal RNA, 253 nt
Filed under: uncultured bacterium
Lineage: Bacteria
Description: partial 16S ribosomal RNA
Rfam family: Bacterial small subunit ribosomal RNA
Source: RNAcentral
UACGUAGGGGGCAAGCGUUGUCCGGAGUUACUGGGCGUAAAGCGCACGCAGGCGGUCGCGUAAGAGUGCGGGGACAGUGGGCGGCUUAACUGCCCAAGAGUCGCACAGACUGCGUGACUGGAGGGCCAGAGAGGGACCUGGAACUCCGGGUGGAGCGGUGAAAUGCGUAGAGAUCCGGAGGAACACCAAUGGCGAAGGCAGGGUCCUGGCUGGCACCUGACGCUGAUGUGCGAAAGCCAGGGGAGCGAACGGG